Molecule: ribosomal RNA, 352 nt
Filed under: Buthus sp. A DP-2013
Lineage: Eukaryota; Metazoa; Arthropoda; Arachnida; Scorpiones; Buthidae
Description: partial 16S ribosomal RNA
Source: RNAcentral
CAUAAUCAUUAGUCUUUUAAUUUGAGACUGGAAUGAAAGAGUAAACCGGGAGAAUUUUUUUUUAUCCAAGAAAAUGAAUUUUACCUUUUAGUAAGAAGGCUAAAAUCUUUCUUUUAGACAAGAAGACCCUAUAAAACUUUAUAUUUUUUCCUAUUUAUANNNAAAGGGAGGAGUAUUUUACUGGGGCGGUAGGAAAAAGNANNUCUUUUCUUAAAAGAUAAAACAAACUAGUUUAAAUAUCUAGAAAUUUUAAAAGAGAAAUAAGUUACUUUAGGGAUAACAGCUUAAUUUACUUAGAAAGAUCUAAUUGACAAGUGAGUUUAUGACCUCGAUGUUGAAUUAAAAUUCCUUU